Molecule: unclassified non-coding RNA, 209 nt
Filed under: Hevea brasiliensis (rubber tree)
Lineage: Eukaryota; Viridiplantae; Streptophyta; Magnoliopsida; Malpighiales; Euphorbiaceae
Source: RNAcentral
CGGCACCGUAAUUUUACUCGAUCUUUUCCGGGUCAAGUACUUCCCGGCGACCCAUCUUUCCGAUCAACAACAAGACUACCCACAUAAUGAAAAACAGAUCCUCAAGUCCUGUUUAUCUUCAGCUGGGAAGAAAAAGGACAAAACAAGAAAGAAAAAGAAGAAAGUUCAAUUUGCCGCUGAUGUGAAAAGUUCGAGCGGAAAUGGCGAGG